UAAUGAAUGAUUGCUUUAUUUCAUAUCACAAACUUUUUCUUAUUUUGAAUUAGCCUAAAUAAUUAUUUAUUUAGGACUCGGUGAUCAUAUCGAAAUUAAAAUCGCAUAAACAAACUGAAUAGGUUUUAAUGAUGUGCUAUGGAGUACAAAAAUAUGCAAAGUCGUCUGGGUCAAGUAUAUCUUUUAUUCAAUCUUUUUCAGGCUGAAGUAAUUUAAUAUUCAUGGAUGUUAAUUUAAAGUCUUUUAGUAUUGUGCGAGGUGUAUAUGGGCUUUUUUAUGAAUAGCCCUUUGCCUUUCCCCCUCUUUCUCCAGGGUUGAUGGACUGAGACAAAAUGGGCAGUUUCCCCCCUUUCCAACAGGGAGGACAUCUUUAUUCCUUCCCCGGCUUGCGGGUUUCCUAUUCAGCUCUCUUCAAAAUAAUGCGGGCUGAAUGAAAAGUGCUGCAAAUCAAUCUUUCAUGGUGUUUUUGAGGGCAAUUUGACAUCCAUGCACUCUUCUUUUCUUUAGGAUAAGUACAAGGGGAUGGCCCGAAAAAAUCUGGACAAGGAUGGGGUCUGGCGAGAACUUCCAAAGAGAGAUGCGAGGAGAGCGCAGAGGAGAAUAUAGGCAUGCUGGAAUCUAGCGGGCAGUGGGCAGACCAUCGGACCAGAACCUGGAUACCCGAGUGUCGGAGAUUGAAUGACAGAAGAUGGAGGCAAGCGGGAAGCGCGAGAGAAAGGUGAAUCUCACCUUUCCCUCCCUCUCGGUGCUCUCCGACAGCUGGGCCGGAGCCUGAGGACAGGACUUAUCAAUGGAGACUUUCACUGGGUCCAUCUGUCCCCUUCUGUUCUGUAAGUCUCACCCACAAACACUGCCUGAGGAGAACCGAGCACCUAAGGCACACGCUUAUACUGAAGAACAACUUCAAGCAAACAACGACUGCUCUUUUUACUCAUAAUUAUGUUAAUAAAAACAAAUAUAAGACAU
Molecule: long non-coding RNA, 966 nt
Organism: Paramisgurnus dabryanus
Lineage: Eukaryota; Metazoa; Chordata; Actinopteri; Cypriniformes; Cobitidae
Source: RefSeq, a predicted model, not a curated record